CGGUGUAUCGCGAAAACCGGUUCACCGCGACAACGACGCGACGGCUGCCGAAACCUUAAUUUUCGGCGGCGUCGGUGGACUCUCGGACCGGGCCUAAAACGGGCCCAACACAACUCAGCAAGGCUGAGUUUAGGUCUUGGGCUUCUGCAGGCUGCUGGUCGCGGGCUUGGGCCUUCUUCUUGGGCCCAAAAUAGGCUGCUAAAACCAAUUGAACUUGCUGGAAUUGGGCCUUGCUGAAUUGGGCUGAAGACCCAAUUAAUUAGACUGUUCUCUUGGGCUACUGAUGGACUUCAAAUGGGCUGGCUUUACGUGAAGAUGGGUUGCAGAAGAAUGGUAACUUGCUGGGCCGUUGAUAUGGGCUGAGCCACGGUGAUGUUGGGCCUGACUCGGUGAAGAUCAACGAUGAAGGAGCAGCUGCUUCAUGAGGCUUCG
This 432-nucleotide long non-coding RNA is filed under the name Eucalyptus grandis. RNAcentral's name for it is "long non-coding RNA (EGRA_LNC007822)". The record is from RNAcentral. Lineage: Eukaryota; Viridiplantae; Streptophyta; Magnoliopsida; Myrtales; Myrtaceae.